Raphanus sativus (radish) is the source of this 1451-nucleotide long non-coding RNA. RefSeq lists it as uncharacterized. The transcript is spliced from 6 exons. Lineage: Eukaryota; Viridiplantae; Streptophyta; Magnoliopsida; Brassicales; Brassicaceae. The record is from RefSeq and is a predicted model, not a curated record.
AGGAAAAAAAAAAGCUUUGUCGACGAUUUCAAUCAUCCCCACCAUGCCGAUUGACGAUUCAGAAAGCAACAUCAAAACCAGUAAAAUCUUUACCGAUACCUUGAAGAUCUUCAACGAUGAUGGUAGCAGAUCGAUCGACGCUUCUUUCCCCAUCCAUGGCGAUUGACGAUUCAGAAAUCAAUUGAAGGUUCAGAAAUCAAAAUCAAAACCAGUAAAAACUGUAACGAUGGCUUGAAGAUCUUCGACGAUGACGGUAGCAAAUCGGGUUUGGAAACAAAAUCAAACCACGAAGUUUGAAACUCGUUAGAUCCAGGAAAGACUUCUCCUAUUCCUCACUCUUAAGGCUUCAGUGAGAAAAACGUUAAGUGAUAUUUGGGUUUCAAUUUGGCGAUUUCAGAAAUCUUUGGCCGAUUUGUGAUCAGAAUCGAAAGACAAUUAAACGGUAAAUAUAGUUUAAAGUUUUUAAUCAUUUGUUAAAAGUUAAUCUCAGAGUUUUAUUCACCAAAUAUAUUCAUGUAACAUUUGUUCUGGUUUUUGUUUCCGGUGAGAUUGGAAUGGUUUCCAAGAAUCCGACGAAGAAUCCGACGAAGUUCUGAAGCGGAACAUGUCAUUCUUCACUGGUAAAUAACAUAAUCUUAAAGUCUGUGAUACACCAAAUAUAUUCAUGUAACAUUUGUUCUGGUUUUUGUUUCCGGUGAGAUUGGAAUGGUUUCUAAGAAUCCGACGAAGAAUCCGACGAAGUUCUGAAGCGGAACAUGUCAUUCUUCACUGUUAAAAGUUUAAAGACACAUGUUUGUGCAGCUGAAGGACCAUGGGACAAAUACAUAACGCCAAAGCAAUACGAACCAAUAAUGUAGGUUUACUUAAAGUGCAAGAAAUGAGUCGAUGAUUUGGACAUGGCGAUUUUAAGAAUCUCCCUCAUACAUACGCCCAUAUAGAAGUCACUUUGAUAAAGGAUGAUCGGUUGAUCGGUACAUGCCAGUUGAAGGAGUGAGAGUGAAAUUCUGAAUGUGUCUCCAUGCUCCAACAGGAAGAAGGCGGCCUUUACUCUCCAUCUUCAUCGGAUAACACCAUCUCGAGGGUGUCCCCGUGCACUGGGUUGUACUGCUUCCAAGAGUGGAGAACCUUCACAUGUACUUUCCAGCCACUCUUGAAAGGUUUCACAUCUUUCAAAGGGGUAAUUUUCAUUGCCGCAGACAUUUUUUUGCUUUGCUAAUGUAGUUGUGAGUAAAUGUGAGAACGUUUAGGUACGUUGUAGGUGUUUAUAUAGCAUUAGGUAAAUCGAUGGUUAGGUAUGACGAUUAAAAAAUAUCUCUGGUAGAUUCUUAGUUCGAUAUAGGAAUUAUUUAGAGUAUUGAUCAAGCCAAGAUAUUUAGAAUCGAUAUUGUUUCCGUGAUAAUCUAUAAAUGUUAACAAUAUUUACAAUUCUGUUGUAUCAAGUAUCUUUUUAA